UCGCACGAGAAAGGGAGCAAUCCUGAGUAAAGUGGCGUACGGGUGAGUAACACGUGGAUCAUCUACCUUUUAGUGGGGAAUACCCCCGGGAAACCGGUGCUAAUACCGCAUACGAUCGCGAUGUCUGCGGACGUUGUGAUGAAAGGAGCAAUUCGCUCCAGGAGGAGCCCGCGGCUGAUUAGCUAGUUGGUGAGGUAAUGGCUCACCAAGGCUACGAUCAGUAUCCGGUCUGAGAGGACGGUCGGACACACUGGAACUGAGACACGGUCCAGACUCCUACGGGAGGCAGCAGUGGGGAAUUUUUGGCAAUGGGGGCAACCCUGACCAAGCAACGCCGCGUGGGUGAUGAAGUCUCUUGGGACGUAAAACCCUUUCGACGGGGAAGAAAACCGCAAGGUUUGACGGUACCCGUAGAAGAAGCCCCGGCUAACUCCGUGCCAGCAGCCGCGGUAAUACGGGGGGGGCGAGCGUUGUUCGGAAUUACUGGGCGUAAAGGGUGCGUAGGCGGUCCGCUAAGUUAGAUGUGAAAACUCUGGGCUCAACCCAGAGCCUGCAUCUAAUACUGACGGGCUAGAGUUCUGGAGGGGGUAGCGGAAUUCCUGGUGUAGCGGUGAAAUGCGUAGAUAUCAGGAGGAACACCGGUGGCGAAGGCGGCUACCUGGACAGAGUCUGACGCUGAGGCACGAAAGCUAGGGGAGCAAACAGGAUUAGAUACCCUGGUAGUCCUAGCCCUAAACGAUGG
Molecule: ribosomal RNA, 742 nt
Filed under: uncultured bacterium
Lineage: Bacteria
Description: bacterial SSU rRNA
Rfam family: Bacterial small subunit ribosomal RNA
Source: RNAcentral